RNAcentral lists this ribosomal RNA (465 nucleotides) under Vreelandella stevensii. RNAcentral's name for it is "partial 16S ribosomal RNA". It matches the Rfam family "Bacterial small subunit ribosomal RNA", at positions 338 to 795 of the family's 1533-position model. Lineage: Bacteria; Pseudomonadati; Pseudomonadota; Gammaproteobacteria; Oceanospirillales; Halomonadaceae. The record is from RNAcentral.
CCUACGGGGGGCUGCAGUGGGGAAUAUUGGACAAUGGGGGGAACCCUGAUCCAGCCAUGCCGCGUGUGUGAAGAAGGCCCUCGGGUUGUAAAGCACUUUCAGUGAGGAAGAACGCCUGGUGGUUAAUACCCAUCAGGAAAGACAUCACUCACAGAAGAAGCACCGGCUAACUCCGUGCCAGCAGCCGCGGUAAUACGGAGGGUGCGAGCGUUAAUCGGAAUUACUGGGCGUAAAGCGCGCGUAGGUGGCUUGAUAAGCCGGUUGUGAAAGCCCCGGGCUCAACCUGGGAACGGCAUCCGGAACUGUCAAGCUAGAGUGCAGGAGAGGAAGGUAGAAUUCCCGGUGUAGCGGUGAAAUGCGUAGAGAUCGGGAGGAAUACCAGUGGCGAAGGUGGCCUUCUGGACUGACACUGACACUGAGGUGCGAAAGCGUGGGUAGCAAACAGGAUUAGAUACCCCGGUAGUC